UUCAUUCUUGUGUUGGUCUCUCCUCUCUGUUACGUCUCUCUACGCUGUUGAUGGACGAUUCUUCUAAACGCACGCGUCUUUGAGAUUUUCUGAAUCGAUCAUCGUCGUUCCUACUUCUGGGUUUUCACUUUUCAUUGAUGAUUGAUAUUUUCUAGGGUUUGGUUCCUAAAAUUGCAUCGGUGGAUUUACUUUUUUUCGCUCUGUUAUUUUUAGAUUGUGGAUCGAUGCUUUGAUCAGUCGGUGAUGGAUGGUUUCGAUGGUGUUCUUCCUCUGGUUUUUGUUUUAUUUUUUCGUAGCGAAUUAUGAUCCGAUGAUCAUCGCUUUCGAUUCCUGAAACUUUCAACUCCUAGGCCUAGUGUUAUGAUUUCUAAAUUGAUUUUGUCUUCUCGUUAUGUUUUUUUUUGGUAGAUUGUGUAUGAUUCUAUGAUCCGCCGUGAUAUAAAUUUUUGGAUCCUUUGUCACGCGUUUUCUCUACGCUAAGUCUUCAAUCGUAUUUUGAUCCGAUUCGUUCUCGCUUCUGAAUUUUCCACUUUUUCUAAUUCAUGUUGUUGAUGAUUUAGAUUGUGGAUGAUAAUACUAUUGUUCGAUUGGUGAUUGAGGAGAAGUCUUAGAUCGAUCGGUGAUGUUUUGAUUGAUCCUUGUCACGCUGUUGGAUAUUGUUCCUCCUUCCUCAAUUCUUAGUUCCUAAACCUUUUUUUUGUUUUGUUUCUUUCCUCUUCUUCGUUUCUAGAUAAGCGACAUCUCUCUCUCUCUCUUUCUCUCUCUUUCUCUCUUUGAUGCAGAUCGUGGAGGCAACGGGAUUGCUCUGUUGAAUCUUUUUUUCUCACCUGUCUUUUGGUUUCUUCUGUUUUCUCGUGCUUUUGAACUUACUUGUUAUAAUCACGAUUUCCUCUGUUCUAUUCCGUCUCAGUUGAUCUUGGAAGGAUGUGUCGUCGCUCCCUGAUGUGUUACUUCGUGGGCGGUUUUCUAUUUACCUUUGUUUCCUUUUCAGGGUUGUUAUAUUACUCUUGUUUUCCCUCUGAUUUUUGUUGGUGAACUUUUUGGUUUAGAUCUUUGAGGUUGAAGGCAUUGUCAAGGGAAGGAUGGCUUGCGUUUAUUUUCGUGUUUCUGGUUACUUCGCAUCUAUACUACACCUUUCUGCUAUUGGUUGAUUUAUUUAAUUUUGAAUAUUGUUGGUUCUGUCCUCUGUUUGUCUUAAUUUGUUUUCCAGAUUUUCUACAUCAACGCCUCUCUGAUUCUCUGCUGCCUACACACAUUCAUUCAUAUGAAAGAUGAUCUUAAAAUUCCCUACACACAUAUACAUUCAUAUUCUUUGUGCUUUUUUUUUGUAACUAGUUUUUGAAUGCUUAUAUGUCUUUUAGGCCUGCUAAGUCUGAGCUCUCUGAUCCAGAAGGUUUGACAUGUGAUUUAUUGAGGUUUUCGUUCCUCUUUCCCUUGGGUAUAUUUCUGUAAUCUGUUUGAUUUCAUAUACUACCUUGAUUUUGAAUUUUUGUUUCCUGAGUUAUAGACUGCGCCACUUGGGAUUCUUCAAGAUCAUUUGGAUUUGUUAUUGGAUGUUUCAGGUUAACAGUAGUGUCGCGUAGUGAUGCUGGCAUUUAUGUGUUAUGCUUAAGACCCCUUCUUUUGAUAUAGGUAGUGGAGGUUCUAAAAGAGAGAAACGUCAGGCUACUUACUGGUUUCGUUCCGUUGUCUUAUAUGUUUAGUGUUUGAUCAUUCUCUCAUAUGCAUGUGACGGUGUUUUUUUUUUUUAAGUGAAAUGUUCCCUUCUUUAUAGGUGUAUAUUUUGAGCUUGAAAGAUGUCUUUGAUCUUGUGCUUCCCUAUUACCUCUCUGGCGGUUCCUUAUCCCCCUUUGUUUUUAAUGGUCUCUUAUUUCUCUGUUACUUUGUUUUUUUUGGAUAAGGAUGUGUUGCAUAUAAUAUCGUAUUUCUGGUUCCUUCGCAUCUAUGCACACCUAUUUCCCUGUGGAUUGUUUAAUUCUAUAAUCGUUAUUGUUGGUGAGAUAUGAAUUGUCCUCUUGUUUCUGUGUUUCCCAGAUUUUCUUCACCAAUAACUUCAUUCCAUUUCGUAAUUCACACACUCAGACUAAAGAUGAGCAUAGAUCAUAGAUUCCUCCCAAACGAGUUUCUGGUUCCUUCGCAUAUAUACUCCUUUUUACAAUUGGUUGAUUUAUUUAAUUUUAGUUAUUUUUGGUUAGGUUUGAUCUGCCCUCUGUGUCUUAUUGUGUUUUUUCAGAUUUUCUACAUCAAUCGCUUCUCUGUUUCUCUGCUGUAACACACAUUUAUAUGAAAGAUGAUCUUAAAUUCCCUUCCAAACGAGUUUGUUCAUAUACUUUAUCCUUUUUCAAUAGUUUUCUUAUUGAAUGUUAUUCUGUAUUUUAGCUCUGCUAAUUCUGACCUCCCUGAUACAGAAGGCUGGACCUGCAUUAACAGUAAUGUCUGUUUCAUCUCCCUAGUGAUAUUGGCAUUUAUGUUUUAUACUAAGUGUCUGUCUUCUGUUAUAGGUAGUGAGGUUCUAAAGGAGAAAAACUGGUUCUUUUCCCCUUUAUUUAUGUUCGUAUUAUCUCUCAUUCUACAUAUAUGUUAUGUGUUUGAUCAUACUCUCGUAUGCUUUUGACGGUGUUUUAUAUGUGAAAUGCUCCGCUUCGUUAUAGGUAUAUUGCGCUUGAAAGAUGUCUUUGAUCUCGUUGUUCCCUGUUACCUCUCUGGCGGUUUUUAUCCCCCUUUGUUUUAUUUUUAGGGUAUCUUAUUUCCCAAUUACUUGAUGUUUUUUCUUUUCUUAUUUUUGGAGAAUUUUCGAUUUAGAUCGUAGAAGUUCAAGUCAUUUUGGGAGAGAAGGAUGGGUGCCGUAUAAUAAUAUCGUGUUUCUGGUUCUUUCACAUCUAUACACCUUUUUACCUAUAGAUUGUUUUAUUUAAAAUUGGGUAUUAUUCGUGAGGUAUGAUUUUCCCCCUUUGUCUGUGUUUCCCAGUUUUUCUUUCACAACUCACUUUAUUAUAUGUCCGUAUACAAACUCAGAUUAAAGAUGAUCAUAGAGUCCUCCCAAACGAGUUUCUGGUUACUUAUUAUAUAUAAACUUUUCUGCUAUUGGUUGAUUUAUUUAAUUUUGGUUAUUGUUGGUUAGGUUUGAUAUGUCCUCUGUGUCUUAUUCUGUUUUCCAGAUUUUCUACAUCAAUCAUUCUCUGUUCCUCUGCUGUUUGCACACAUUCAUAUGAAAGAUGCUCUUAAAUUCCCUUCCGAACGAGUUUGUUCUAAUACUUUUGCUUUGUAAGUAGAUUUUGUUUUGAUUGUCUUUUAUUUCUGCUAAAAGUCUGAGCUCUCUGAUGCAGAAGGGUGGACCUGUGUUUAUUUAGGAUUUCCUUCUUCUCUCCCUUGAGUAUAUAUCAGCAUUCUGUUUCCAUAGAGUUUGUUAUUGGAUGUUUCAGGUUAGAAGUAACGUCUGCUGUUAUUGGAUUACCCUGUAUUUCUGCAUCGGGAGUUUCGCUAAUUACGUUUACAGCUUGCCGGGAGAAUUUGGUGCUUCCAUCUGUCGUUGAUUCAGGUUUUAGUUGAUGGAUUUAGUUUUUGAAUUGAACAGCGUCCAGUCUGAGCUCCUCUUAUGCAGAAAGCUAGACAUGUUGGUAGUCAGGUUUUCGUUCUUCUUUCCUUCUUAGAUCUUCUGCAAUCUUUUGAUUCACAAUUCCUGGAUUUUGAAGUGUGUUUCGCUUACUGAGCCAUGGACUGUGACAGUGGGGAGUUUCUUUUGGCUUUUUGGUGUGUUGAGGAUUCGAAGGAGCCCGACUCCCUUUUGAUUUUUUUGACAUCGAAGGUUGAAUUUGCAGUAGGUUUUUAACCUCUGGUGUGUUUUGCCUUUUUCUGUUUUGAUGACCACUAUAUUUGAUGAAGACGUGCUCAGAUAUCUUCCCCUCCUUAUCUGCUUGUGCUUGUAGUUUGCUGCAUGUUUUCUAUAGUUGGUACUAAUCGCUUCUACUUGAGAUGAAGUCAUUAUCGUUGCAUCCGGGUUUGAUUUUGCAAAGUGGUAGUUCUGUUUUGGCCUGCUUGCCUACACUCGUAUCUGUACAUCAUGAAUUUGUGAAGUAGAUUCAGGUCAGAUGUUAUGAGUUCUUUGGCAUCUGAUUAUCGCAUCUCUGUUGAUUUGUGAAUUACUUCUGACUGUUGUAGUUUACUGGGUAUUCAAGAAAAGGGAGCUUCAACCUCCAUACUAAUUGACGGGUUCCCAUCCUUUCUUCCUUGUUUCUGCUUUUACGAGGCUAUUUAUUUUCUCAGAGUUGAUGCUAUUAAUUUUGAUUUCAUAGUCUUUUGCUUCUCUCUGAGUGGAAAUGUGCUACAGAUUUUGAGGAUCCAGUAUAUUAACCUAUGAGUUGGGUCUCUUCUCCAGCAAGACAAGGUAACAUCGAAGGUUCUUUCAGUAUCACUCAUCGGUUUUGUAUAAGACCUUUUUGUUUUGGUGACUCUUCUAUUUCAUGGUCUCUGCCUCUGGGGAUUAGUUGUGCAGGAUGGUUGAAGCUCUGUAGGUUGACUUCUCUGAAGGUGUGGUUACCAUACUUGUUCUAUGGAUUUUAGUCUUCUGUACUUUUGAUGAUGAUUCUCAGUUUCGCAGCAAUAUCUGGUUAAUGUUCGGAAUUUUUGAAGAUUUUCAGCUUUUUUAUUGUACACUACGUGGAUUUUAGGUUUCAUCAGAUACCUCAGUAUUUUUGUCAUGAAAAGGCUAGUCUGCCAGAAUGAGUUGUUUAGUUAAUUUCUAGGUACUUACACAGGACAUUAGAUUUCUUGGUAUUGUCAGAAUUUGGUUGGAAUGAAUCUUGUGAUUCUGGGGAACACGUGCAAAUAUUUUUGAGGAGUUGUGGUCCUCGUAUCCUCUUCAGUUUGUUAUUUUGAUGUCAUAGGCUCAUAGAAGGUGAAGAGCAUCUUGGUUUUGAUGAUAAUGGUCUUUACGUCUGACAUCUGACAUUUGAUGAUGAAGUCAACAAUUGAUUUUGUUUUGGUGAUACAUAAUGUUGUUGGAUUUCAGGUGAGGCUUAAUUUUAUGGAAUCUUCUUACGAAUGAUCUCAGGUGGUUAGUGUAAACUGAAAACAUCACCUCCCUACUUCUGGUAAAGAUGUUGAUUACUAAUGUUGUUAGAUUGUUACCUCCAAAUCCUAGAUCCUUUCUUCCUUGGACGUAUUGGCUUGCAGGUCAAAACUUUCUGUCUAUCAAGAUAAUGUACCUCCAUUCUGGUUACUUUUAGUCAACGAUUGGGGAAGUGAUGUUUUCUCAAUUCUCAUCAUCUCUUGAACCUUAAUUGCUCUGUCACACAUUGAAGCCUAUGUUGGGUUUGCAGUUUGUGAAGUUUCCAUGGGAAGGUCUUUGAUGUUCACUGAAGUUGAUUUUAUUCCUGAAGAAGGAUGUGUUUCCUAUAUGUUAAGAAAACGCAACGUAAUGAUGGAAGCUUUUUGUUCUUCUGAAUUAUGACGUGUUGCCAUACCAACUGUUUGGUAAAGUACUUGUGAGAGAUAUUUUUCCUGUAAGUGAGUGAUAUGUUUUGCUGGAAGGGGCUAUACAAGAAGACACGACUCCGAGAGGCUUACAAGCUUCGACACAGGAUGAAGUUAAAAGAUCUCAGGCCUUUAUCUUGUGCUGUGGAUUGCUUUUGUUCAAAGAAUGGAGUAUGCUAUUAGGAUCGCCUAGAUCAGUCAUGGGACCUUUGGUGUGGUUGCUUUGACUUGCCUCUACAAUUGCGAAAAUGAUGAUUUCUCAUUGCUCGGAACUUAAGAGGAUCUUCAUUUUGAUGCGGUUGUUAUUACACAUUGAAGCCCACGCUAGUGUUGCAGUUUCUGAAUUAUUCAUGGGAAGCACUGUGAUUGGAGUAGACUGAAAUUGAUUGAAGUUUGUUAAUAGUGAAUUUGUACAGUUAUGUGCUUUUGUAUAUUAUCUAUUCUCCGAGUGAACUGAAGUCCGAAGAAUGGCUUGAAAGCCACUAUCUCGCAAAAGUUGAUCAAAAAUGCCACCUUUCUAUUUUUUAUUUCA
Molecule: non-coding RNA, 6004 nt
Organism: Camelina sativa (false flax)
Lineage: Eukaryota; Viridiplantae; Streptophyta; Magnoliopsida; Brassicales; Brassicaceae
Source: RefSeq, a predicted model, not a curated record